GCGCGCUUAGCUCAGUUGGUUAGAGCAUCUCGUUUACACCGAGAGGGUCAGGGGUUCGAAUCCCUUAGCGCGCACUA
RNAcentral lists this transfer RNA (77 nucleotides) under sediment metagenome. RNAcentral describes it as "tRNA-Val". It matches the Rfam family "tRNA". From Rfam's summary of the family: Transfer RNA (tRNA) molecules are approximately 80 nucleotides in length. Their secondary structure includes four short double-helical elements and three loops (D, anti-codon, and T loops). The record is from RNAcentral.